This 425-nucleotide ribosomal RNA is filed under the name uncultured bacterium. Its description in RNAcentral is "partial 16S ribosomal RNA". It matches the Rfam family "Bacterial small subunit ribosomal RNA", at positions 354 to 796 of the family's 1533-position model. The record is from RNAcentral.
GUGGGGAAUAUUGGACAAUGGGCGCAAGCCUGAUCCAGCCAUGCCGCGUGAGUGAUGAAGGCCUUAGGGUUGUAAAGCUCUUUUGUCCGGGAAGAUAAUGACUGUACCGGAAGAAUAAGCCCCGGCUAACUUCGUGCCAGCAGCCGCGGUAAUACGAAGGGGGCUAGCGUUGUUCGGAAUCACUGGGCGUAAAGCGCACGUAGGCGGACCAUUAAGUCAGGGGUGAAAGCCUGGAGCUCAACUCCAGAACUGCCGUUGAUACUGAUGGUCUCGAGUAUGGAAGAGGUUGGUGGAACUGCGAGUGUAGAGGUGAAAUUCGUAGAUAUUCGCAAGAACACCGGUGGCGAAGGCGGCCAACUGGUCCAUUACUGACGCUGAGGUGCGAAAGCGUGGGGAGCAAACAGGAUUAGAUACCCGGGUAGUCC